UACUGCCUGGGGUGUGCGACAGUUCUGUUUAUUUUUGAACCUACAUCGACUUGAACGGGUUUCCCAGAUUGCUGCGGCUGAUGCCGGGCCGUCUUCGAACGGAUGGCAGAAACGUAUGCUGCGGUUACCCACCUGGCUUUACGCUAGGAGUCAAAAGGCGGGGCACCGGCACUUCGGGCUUUAA
This 184-nucleotide non-coding RNA is filed under the name Lachnospiraceae bacterium. RNAcentral describes it as "6S RNA". It matches the Rfam family "6S / SsrS RNA". Rfam says of the family: E. coli 6S RNA was the first non coding RNA to be sequenced, but its function was unknown until recently. It consists of 184 nucleotides that fold into an extended hairpin structure with a large single-stranded internal bulge. The record is from RNAcentral. Lineage: Bacteria; Bacillati; Bacillota; Clostridia; Lachnospirales; Lachnospiraceae.